AAAUAUGUAAAUAAAUUUUAUUUAAUAUUAUGUUCAGUUUAAUCAUCUACAUUAUCACAUAAGUUUAAUAGUAAAAUUUACCAAGCACAUACGACUUCUUUUAAAAAUCACAACACUUAUAAAAAUAAAUUUUACCAAACGUUUAAUUAAUUCUUUUCACAACUGAUUAUUUCUACGGCAUAACUAACAAAAAUUAUUUUAAAAAUUACACUGCUACCAAAUUGGCCCUUAACACAUAUUGUGAAGGGAUAAAGGCGUAAAGCUCAUUACAUCAUUGUUCUUGUUGCGCCCAUGUGUCUUCUUAUUUCUAGUGAUACGACAAUUUAACGCAACUUUUUCUUGCUCAAUCAAUUAAACUGCUGCAGAUAAGUUUUUUCUGAAUGGUUUGGACAAUUUUAAUUCAUUUAGUGGAUUUUCUACCCUUCCAUUGUCAUACAACAUGAGCAUUCCUUUUCUGUUGAGUGAAAUUUGGCAUGUAGUUAGGUUUAAAAGAAAAAACAAAAUUGCCUUAUCUAACAAAUCCUAUAACUGAUGCAACAAAUAAAGGAUCACACUUCUGCUGCUUCUAAUUGGAGCCACAAUGACAGAACAUGAUAAUGCUUACCUGAUAGUGGGAAACUGUUAUUGCUUAAGCCUUAGCUGAUGCUUGUUUAAAACCUUUGAAUGAGCUGGUAUGAAUGGUGUCAUGUCAUGCAAUUUUUAACUUUUAGCUACUUGGUUUCUAUGUGUUUACUGUUAGUUGAACCCAUAUGGCCUACUCAGAUUGCCACUUCUAAAUGCUCAAUGAAAAUUACAGUUCUCAUAAAGAAGAAAAGGACUUGAUAGGAUGCAGAUUUCUUGUCCUUUCCAAUUAUUUAAGGAUGCUGAAUUGUGGUGUGGAUCUGCACUCUGUUGAAUGUUGGAAAAUGACACAGAUUUUGGUGUCAUGUCUUGUUUGCUGACUUAUUGUAACAGCUUUGUCCCAACAACCAGUAGAUAUUGUAGAUAUUGUCUGCUUUGUCCUUCACUCACACGUUCUUCAUGCUCACAGAUUUGCCUUUCGGGAGAACAUGCGGCUUUUUUGCCGACUUUGCUGCCUAUGUGGGAUGUCACACUCCGUCUGGAUAAUUCUGCCUGUUGGAACAAUGGAGAUGAGGAAUCUAGUGUGUGUUUUAUAUACCUAGUCAUCUCUGGUCUAGUUCUUUUGUUUUUUUAUUUAUUUAAAUUCUCCAUUUAAUAUUUCUUUUUUCAUAUGAAUGAUCUUGAAAUGUUCGCAUGGUUGGUACAAUUCUAAUGGAAGUAAUCACACUUGCUUUUUUGACCAGAACAUCAAAGUGAAAAGAAUGAUUUUUUCNN
RNAcentral lists this long non-coding RNA (1335 nucleotides) under Citrus x clementina. RNAcentral's name for it is "Citrus clementina (C. clementina) long non-coding RNA (CCLE_LNC002108)". The record is from RNAcentral. Lineage: Eukaryota; Viridiplantae; Streptophyta; Magnoliopsida; Sapindales; Rutaceae.